GAUGAACGCUGGCGGCGUGCCUAAUACAUGCAAGUCGAGCGAACAGACGAGGAGCUUGCUCCUCUGACGUUAGCGGCGGACGGGUGAGUAACACGUGGAUAACCUACCUAUAAGACUGGGAUAACUUCGGGAAACCGGAGCUAAUACCGGAUAAUAUAUUCAACCGCAUGGUUCAAUAGUGAAAGGCGGUUUUGCUGUCACUUAUAGAUGGAUCCGCGCCGCAUUAGCUAGUUGGUAAGGUAACGGCUUACCAAGGCGACGAUGCGUAGCCGACCUGAGAGGGUGAUCGGCCACACUGGAACUGAGACACGGUCCAGACUCCUACGGGAGGCAGCAGUAGGGAAUCUUCCGCAAUGGGCGAAAGCCUGACGGAGCAACGCCGCGUGAGUGAUGAAGGUCUUCGGAUCGUAAAACUCUGUUAUUAGGGAAGAACAAAUGUGUAAGUAACUAUGCACGUCUUGACGGUACCUAAUCAGAAAGCCACGGCUAACUACGUG
RNAcentral lists this ribosomal RNA (497 nucleotides) under uncultured bacterium. RNAcentral describes it as "partial 16S ribosomal RNA". It matches the Rfam family "Bacterial small subunit ribosomal RNA", at positions 28 to 507 of the family's 1533-position model. The record is from RNAcentral.